UUUAUCAUUAAUCCCCAAAAUUAAUAUGUUAAUUAAACUACCUCCU
RNAcentral lists this transfer RNA (46 nucleotides) under Zeugodacus cucurbitae (melon fly). RNAcentral's name for it is "tRNA-Pro". The record is from RNAcentral. Lineage: Eukaryota; Metazoa; Arthropoda; Insecta; Diptera; Tephritidae.